GAAGCGGUAACAGCUCAAAUUUGAAAUCUGGGUCUCUUAGGCUCCGAGUUGUAAUUUGUAGAAGAUGCUUUGGGUGCGGCCCCGGUCUAAGUUCCUUGGAACAGGACGUCAUAGAGGGUGAGAAUCCCGUAUGUGAUCGGUGGCUUGCGCCCGUGUAAAGCUCUUUCGACGAGUCGGGUUGUUUGGGAAUGCAGCUCUAAAUGGGUGGUAAAUUUCAUCUAAAGCUAAAUAUUGGCCAGAGACCGAUAGCGCACAAGUAGAGUGAUCGAAAGAUGAAAAGCACUUUGGAAAGAGAGUUAAACAGUACGUGAAAUUGUUGAAAGGGAAGCGCUUGCAACCAGACUUGCGCGAGGUUGAUCAUCCGGGGUUCUCCCCGGUGCACUCGGCCUCGCUCAGGCCAGCAUCGGUUUCGGUGGUUGGAUAAAGGCCUUGGGAAUGUAGCUCCUCUCGGGGAGUGUUAUAGCCCUCGGUGCAAUGCAGCCUACCGGGACCGAGGACCGCGCUUCGGCUAGGAUGCUGGCGUAAUGGUUGUAAGCGACCCGUCUUGAAACACGGACCAAGGAGUCUAACAUCUAUGCGAGUGUUUGGGUGUCAAACCCAUGCGCGUAAUGAAAGUGAACGGAGGUGAGAACCCUUAAGGGUGCAUCAUCGACCGAUCCUGAUGUCUUCGGAUGGAUUUGAGUAAGAGCAUAGCUGUUGGGACCCGAAAGAUGGUGAACUAUGCCUGAAUAGGGUGAAGCCAGAGGAAACUCUGGUGGAGGCUCGCAGCGGUUCUGACGUGCAAAUCGAUCGUCAAAUUUGGGUAUAGGGGCGAAAGACUAAUCGAACCAUCUAGU
This 836-nucleotide ribosomal RNA is filed under the name Pezicula eucalyptigena. RNAcentral describes it as "partial large subunit ribosomal RNA". It matches the Rfam family "Eukaryotic large subunit ribosomal RNA", at positions 95 to 948 of the family's 3401-position model. Lineage: Eukaryota; Fungi; Ascomycota; Leotiomycetes; Helotiales; Dermateaceae. The record is from RNAcentral.